CAAGUAGACUGGAUGGUCGCAGAUAGAGUUUGCUCUAUCUGAGGAAAGUCCGGGCUCUAUAGAGCAGGAUGCUGAAUAACAUUCAGCCGGAGUAAUCCGCGGGCCAGUGCAACAGAGAGGAGACCGCCUGUCUUUGGCAGGUAAGGGUGAAAGGGUGCGGUAAGGGCGCACCGGGUAUCUGGUGACAGAUACUGCAGGGUAAACCCCAUCCAGAGCAAGACUAAAUAGGAGAAGGUUAAGGGCUGCUCGUCCAGCUUCUCGGGUUAGUCGCUUAAGGCAGUAAGUAAUUACUGUCCUAGAUAGAUGAGCAUCUUAAAAGACAGAACCCGGCUUACAAGUCUGCUUGCCGA
Molecule: non-coding RNA, 350 nt
Organism: Acetohalobium arabaticum DSM 5501
Lineage: Bacteria; Bacillati; Bacillota; Clostridia; Halanaerobiales; Halobacteroidaceae
Rfam family: Bacterial RNase P class A
About the family: Ribonuclease P (RNase P) is a ubiquitous endoribonuclease, found in archaea, bacteria and eukarya as well as chloroplasts and mitochondria. Its best characterised activity is the generation of mature 5'-ends of tRNAs by cleaving the 5'-leader elements of precursor-tRNAs.
Source: Rfam